GGCUUCGGAUGAUCUAAGCAUGCGAGUCAUUGUAGUAAUACAAGGCAGACGGCUCAGUAACGCGUAGUCAACCUAACCUAUGGACGGGAAUAACCUCGGGAAACUGAGUAUAAUGCCCGAUAGAACAUUAUGCCUGGAAUGGUUUAUGUUCCAAAUGAUUUAUCGCCGUAGGAUGGGACUGCGGCCUAUCAGUUUGUUGGUGAGGUAAUGGCCCACCAAGACUAUUACAGGUACGGGCUCUGAGAGGAGUAGCCCGGAGAUGGGUACUGAGACACGGACCCAGGCCCUAUGGGGCGCAGCAGGCGAGAAAACUUUGCAAUGUGCGAAAGCACGACAAGGUUAAUCCGAGUGGUUUCUGCUAAAGGAACCUUUUGUCGGUCCUAGAAACACCGAUGAAUAAGGGGUGGGCAAGUUCUGGUGUCAGCCGCCGCGGUAAAACCAGCACCUCAAGUGGUCAGGAUGAUUAUUGGGCCUAAAGCAUCCGUAGCCUGCUUUGUUAGUUUUCGGUUAAAUCUGUACGCUCAACGUACAGGCUGCCGGGAAUACUACAAAGCUAGGGAGUGGGAGAGGUAGACGGUACUCGGUAGGAAGGGGUAAAAUCCUUUGAUCUAUUGAUGACCACCUGUGGCGAAGGCGGUCUACCAGAACACGUCCGACGGUGAGGGAUGAAAGCUGGGGGAGCAAACCGGAUUAGAUACCCGGGUAGUCCCAGCCGUAAACCAUGCAAACUCAGUGAUGCAUUGGCUUGUGGCCAAUGCAGUGCUGCAGGGAAGCCGUUAAGUUUGCCGCCUGGGAAGUACGUACGCAAGUAUGAAACUUAAAGGAAUUGGCGGGGGAGCACCACAAGGGGUGAAGCCUGCGGUUCAAUUGGAGUCAACGCCGGG
This 884-nucleotide ribosomal RNA is filed under the name uncultured archaeon. Its description in RNAcentral is "bacterial SSU rRNA". It matches the Rfam family "Archaeal small subunit ribosomal RNA", at positions 28 to 922 of the family's 1478-position model. The record is from RNAcentral.